This 395-nucleotide ribosomal RNA is filed under the name Marimonadida sp. Its description in RNAcentral is "partial small subunit ribosomal RNA". It matches the Rfam family "Eukaryotic small subunit ribosomal RNA", at positions 582 to 975 of the family's 1831-position model. The record is from RNAcentral. Lineage: Eukaryota; Cercozoa; Imbricatea; Marimonadida.
AUUCCAGCUCCAGUAGCGUAUAUUAAAGUUGUUGCAGUUAAAAAGCUCGUAGUUGGAUUUCUGGCAAGGCAGAGCUAACCUGGUACUAUGUAUCGUGUGUUGGACUCGGUCUGCCAUCCUUCCAGAAAAGCAUCAUACCCUUCAUUGGGCCGUGGUGAUAGAUCUGGAACUUUUACUUUGAAAAAAUUAGAGUGUUCAAAGCAGGCGUUACGCUAUGAAUACAUUAGCACGGAAUAAUAAUUUAGGACUUCAGUUCUAUUUUGUUGGUUUCUAGGACCGAAGUAAUGAUUGAUAGGGAUAGUUGGGGGUGCUAGUAUUCAGCGGCCAGAGGUGAAAUUCUUGGAUUCGCUGAAGACUAACUUAUGCGAAAGCAUUCACCAAGGAUGUCUUCAUCA